RNAcentral lists this small RNA (4858 nucleotides) under Rattus norvegicus (Norway rat). Its description in RNAcentral is "Mir9-3 host gene (Mir9-3hg)". The record is from RNAcentral. Lineage: Eukaryota; Metazoa; Chordata; Mammalia; Rodentia; Muridae.
GAAGGCGGCGCUGAGCCGCUCAGAGCCGAGAGAAGCGGCGCGCCGCCAGGAACCCCAGCGCCAACGCCGCCGCGCCUGCUUCCAGCAGCUCUCGGCCACGCGACCGUGCGGGCAGCGGCGCCUGGAGGGUGGCCGGAGCUGGGCCUGAGCCUGGGGACUCGCCUGAUCCUGGGCGGCCGAACCACCGUCACCACAGCCGCCCCACCCCCGCCGUCGCCUCGUGGGGCCCCGGCCCCCUCCCGGGUCCUUGCUCCAGAUUCCCGAAUUUCCUACCUGGGCUCUGAGUGCCCUUCACUAGCACCUACUGGCCUUCAGCACGAAGGAGGCUCGCAUCACUGCAGGGAAAGGUGAGUGGCUGUAGCCAGGGAAGGAGGGCAUGUAGAGUCUUAAAAUCGAACAAAUAAAACAAAAAACGAACCGGCAGAAUGAAACAUCGUCGGAAGAUUCCAGGACCACGUUGGUAAGGUGACUGUGUUUCUACCUGAAUCCCCUGAAAGUGGACCCCUUCCCUCUGUAGGCCAGAAUCUAAAGUCACCAAGUCAUCCCUCUCAUUCCCAAGAGUGCUGUGGCUUUAGUAAUACACCUGCUGGCUUGUGCUUUGUAAGGCAACCCCGCUGGGUUGGGACCAUCCUCCAUCUCCCCAGGACACUGUCCCCAAGACAGGCAGAGCACACUUGGGUGCCAGAAUGAUUCUGGCCUCCAAAGUGGUUUCUUGGACACCUUUGGCCUGAGCCUGGCUCUCGAGCGGUGGCCAGCAACCUCGACUGGUAAAGGGGCCGCUUGCCUAGGGGUCAGGCUAGCCCACAGUGGGACUCAGGACCUGGUCCUGCGCGCUCGCUCUCGGAAACCGCGUGGUGAGAGCUUAGGCAGAGACUGACUCCCUUGGCGGCCCCGCACGCACCUCCUGUCCCAGGCCUACCCGGGCCUAUGGAAGCUUCCGCGCGAAGCUGGCAGGGAAGGCCCUCAGAGCACGCGUAAACCCGACGCCCGGCGCCGAGAGGAGACCCGAAGGACCAGCCGCGUCCCCUGGGCCUGCGCCAAGGCUUCGGCGGGGAGCGCUGCGGGGCCGGGAGGCCAUUUUGAGAGCGAACGCACGGCGGCAAGAUGGCUGCGUGGGCACGAGGUAGGUCGCAGCGCCGCAGGGUCGGCCGAGCUCCUCCUCGCGCCAGCAGGGCCGCUCAACCCCAUGGAAGCAGCGCGCGCGGAGAGCGCACCCGGCCUAGGGGUCUGGGAAGUCGCCUGCGGCGGGCCGUCGCCAAGUAUUCCAGGACACUGUCCCCGAGGCCACAAUGCCUUUCCCGGCUGUUGAAAAGAAAGCAGCAGAAGAAAGUAGGCCGCUGCUGGCUCCUGAGUCCCUGGCAGCCUUCUCUCCUCAGACAUGGUGGGAUGUACUCUGAUCUAGAGCAGGCAUCUGGCCAGAGACCCACAGGGAGCUCUGUGAUUGGCCUCAGAUGACCUAGAGGACAAAGAGAGGUCAGUGACUCCUGUUGUCUGCGAGUGUGAUGCUGGAGGUGGAGGUGGGACAAAGCCAUCAUGUCUUUGAAGAAAGCUUCUGGCCUCAAGCCAGACUCAGGAUUUUGGAGACUCGAGCCUCUUCUGGACAUGUGCACCUUGACAGUAGUGGCUUCUAAUUGUCCUGUGAAGGGAAAUGAUGGAACAGGCUCUGGUCGGCUUUUCUGGGAACAGACAGAGAAGUGGUAACUCCUGCCAAAGUCACGGGAUGCAUACAAAGCCCAGAACCCGAACAGGAAAAUGCAGCAGGAAAGGACACCGCAGCAGCCACCAUCCUGGGGUGGCUGUGCACGGGGCAGUCCUGCCCCUGGAACUUGGCCAGAGGCCAGGGCAAGUGCCCACCUCCCUUCUAGGGGCCUUUGUCACUGGCCUGCUUGCCCAGGUCUCCUUCAUCUCUGCUGCUGCCACACCUUUCAGGCCUGUUCUGGGUCUGAUGUGAUGCAGAACACUCUGCUCCGUCACUUGGGAAAUGGAAACUUCAUCACCAGCGUUUCCACCCCAAAGAACUAGACAGCACACUGGGAAGUUGCCAAAGGAAGGGACUUCAGCCUCCCAGGAGUUAACAACAUUUCUCCCCAGCUGUCCUCCCCUUGGUGCUCCUUUUCCUCCCUCCUCCUGCUCACAGCAGGCAGGGCCUGGAACCAGGAGCCAUGCUGCUGUGCUGUUGCCAGGGGAGCUGGGAGGCAGAUCAGAGCUAUGCAGGGGAAAGGCUCAGCCUGUCAAAGUGUCUGAGAUGAACCACCGCCAUCCCCGUGCAGCUGGGCUCCAUGUGUCUCAAGGCUCUUGUUCUGUGCCUGAGAACAGGGAAACCCAGCGAGGUUCAAGGGCACACUCGCUAUUCAUCAGUCAGGGGUUCUUGACGGUCCUGCCUCUCCCAGAGAUGGGUUCCCCCCUUCCUCUUUCUCUCCCUCCUGUGACACAAUCCUGGGUGCCUAUGGUGAGGACUGCACACCCCCUCCCUACUGCUCCCCCCAAACCCUGAAUCAACUCUUAUUAAGGAGGCCAGGCAGGACAGAGACAAUGGCUUCAAGAAAUCAUUCAGGCAGGACCCCAGCCACAUUUGCCUGCCCUUCACUCCCAGUGCCCCUGUAGAUCCCACUCUGCAGUGAUUCAGGGCACCCUUGGGCCCCCAGCUUGCAUAUGCUUAGACAGGAGCAGGCCACUAGGUGCUGCCCUACACAACAGGCCAGUGCACUAUUCUCAGUGUUAUUCUUAGUGGCCCCUAGGUCCCUCUGUCCCACUGGCUGCAUAUUUUUGUGCAGUUGGCCGGAAAGUAGAAACUGUACAAUAUUUUCUGAAAUGUGGUAAUAUCAAAAUGUAAAAGACAUAUAUACUUGAUUACUAAUCUCAUCCAGAUACCCUGGAAACGUUUGCUAAGAAGCAUGGACAAAGAGCUGUGGUUGAAGGAAUGAGUCAUUCCUUUCUAUGGAGUACCGCAGAGGCAGCUCGUGCAGGCUGAUAGGGAAGGCUCCAAUAUACUCAAGUGCAGAAUAAAGUACAAAAGGUCAAGUAAAGGACAAACGUGUUCCUGUUUGUAUAUACCUAAAGUCAGUCAGGGACUCGGGAGUGAACGCCAUGGUAAAAUGCACCCAGCAUGCAUACAAGAGGCCGAGAGCCAAGUAAAACUGUGUCAGCCACAAGUACGUCUGUAUGGAUGGCCCUGAAGCAGGCAUUGCACAGCAGCCUCUGGAAGCAGGAGGCAUUUCUUCCUUGUUUUUGUGUUUGUUUUCUCUCUGUGUUUGUGAAAAGGGAAAGGGUAGUUGUCACUUAAUAGGUAUAACUUCUCUCAGCCAAUGAAGGGUGUGCACUCUGAGACAAGGUGGUGAUGUGGCAGAGAAGUGUCUUGACAGUACUGGUGGCUUCUGGCCACUGGCGUUUCUCCAACCACAUGUCAUCAUUAUGGCUGCCACUGUUAAUCAAAAGCCCACUUACUUCCAGGGUUGGUUGUCUGGCUCUUGCUUGGGUGAGUGUCACGUUAUUUCAGUCUAACCUACACAGGAGACUGACUGGGGAAAUCAGUAGGUUUCUCCAAGCGGCUUGGCAAGUGAGGCAGAGUCAGUAUCCUAGAGUGGGUAAGGCAAGUGUGGGCUCUGGUUUCCCUUUGGGAGGACCUGUUUGGAUGAGUGGGGCUUGUGGGCUGUGUUGAUUAUGAGUGGGCACUCCUGCUUUAGCCCAAUGGAGGUGUCCUGCUGGGGACAGGAUGGCCUCAGGAGUAGUGGAUUGGCUCUGAAAGGCUCUAUCUGCAUACACACAGCAGAGAGAUACACUGGACUUUACUGCUCCCAGUGCGAAUCAAAAGCCUGGCUUUGCUCCCACAGGAGUAAAUCGCUACGGGGCAUCCGGAAAGGGCAGCAUGGAGCUGGCAUUGAGUCUUGGAACCAACAUAAGUCCAGGCACAGCAUCCUGUGGAGCUCUGAGUUGGGUCCUGAGGCCUGGGAGCAGGCAAGGAAAGAUCAACAGUAGAGUUGACCAGAGGAAGCUGGGAGAUCCAUGGAGGCCCCUGGACUUGAUGGCAGCUUUGGAAGUCAGGAGGAAAGCAACUAGGGGUGGGGCUGUUGCCAGGUCUCCUGCUUUGGUGCAGUGAGUCUUAGUUUUAUAUGAUGGGAACCACUGGUAAGAUCAUUUUACAAAUGACACCGAAGUUCGGAAAUGUUGCUACAUGUCUCAAGUCACAGCUAAAAAGUUCCAGAACUGAGAUUUAACACCUAUCUCAUUGGUUGCAGUCUGGAUUCCUAGCCCCAAAUGUAUCCUGUUUGGUUGGGCCACUUAAACGAGGUCUCCUAACCCCAACCCCUCCUGCCGGUCCCAUACAUAGAGACAUUAAAUUCUGCCUGCAAGGUUCCCUCAAUACCUUGCCUGGGACCCUCCUUAAUUCCACCGAAUUCCAUCUCUGGGCUACACUAAGCUUUGCAGCCUGGGCCUUGAGAGCUGGAGAAGAAAUUCAAAGCCAUGUACAGACUCCGGGCCUUCAGUUAGCAUUUUUACUUAGCACUACGCUGUUUGCUUCUGGAAGUCUGGCCAUCUGCAUUCUGCAGAUGCUGUCUCUUCCUUCAGGUCCUUGACCUGCAAACCUAUGGGAAGGUCAAGGGUGCUCUAGGGCCUAGCUCCAUGCUUCACAGAGGUCGCCCUGCUGAGGGCUGCAGCAACCCAAGGCUGAGGAUCAGGCCUGGAAGAGCAAAAAGGGACAGCCAGACUUAGAAAUCGUUGGAACUCUUCCUCUGGCUUAUUUCAGGACAACGCUGGGGGAUGAUUAAGACAAAUUCGAGAGAAAGGACUCUUCUGACCCUGGGAAACCUCUGCCUCUUUUACCCCAGCUCACAACUAAUAAAAGUUCGGGAAAAAAAAA